RNAcentral lists this ribosomal RNA (328 nucleotides) under uncultured bacterium. RNAcentral describes it as "bacterial SSU rRNA". It matches the Rfam family "Bacterial small subunit ribosomal RNA", at positions 568 to 897 of the family's 1533-position model. The record is from RNAcentral.
UCCGUAGGCGGUGUGGCAAGUCGGAAGUGAAAUCUCUGGGCUUAACUCAGAGGCUGCUUCCGAAACUGCCGUGCUAGAGUGCGAGAGAGGCAAGUGGAAUUGCGGGUGUAGCGGUGAAAUGCGUAGAUAUCCGCAGGAACAUCCGAGGCGAAAGCGGCUUGCUGGAUCGCAACUGACGCUGAGGGACGAAAGCUAGGGGAGCAAACAGGAUUAGAUACCCUGGUAGUCCUAGCCCUAAACCAUCAGGACUUGGGGUUUGCCCUGUACGGGGCAAGUCCCGUAGCUAACGCGUUAAGUCCUGCGCCUGGGGAGUACGGUCGCAGGCUGA